This 62-nucleotide transfer RNA is filed under the name Krisna furcata. RNAcentral describes it as "tRNA-His". Lineage: Eukaryota; Metazoa; Arthropoda; Insecta; Hemiptera; Cicadellidae. The record is from RNAcentral.
AUUUAAAUAGUUUAAUAAAAAUAAAGAAUUGUGGUUUCUUAGAUAUAUUUAUAUUUUAAAUU